RNAcentral lists this ribosomal RNA (467 nucleotides) under uncultured bacterium. RNAcentral describes it as "partial 16S ribosomal RNA". It matches the Rfam family "Bacterial small subunit ribosomal RNA", at positions 28 to 507 of the family's 1533-position model. The record is from RNAcentral.
GAUGAACGCUGGCGGCGUGCUUAACACAUGCAAGUCGAACGGAAAGGCCCAAGCUUUCUUGGGUACUCGAGUGGCGAAUGGGUGAGUAACACGUGGGUGAUCUGCCCUGCACUUCGGGAUAAGCCUGGGAAACUGGGUCUAAUAUCGGAUAUGACAACUUCUUGGAUGUUGUGGUGUAAAGUUUUUUGGCUGUGGAAUGAGCUCGCGGCCUAUCAGCUUGUUGGUGGGGUGUUGGCCUACCAAGGCGUCGACGGGUAGCCGGCCUGAGAGGGUGUACGGCCACAUUGGGACUGAGAUGCGGCCGAGGCACCUACGGGGGGGCGAAGGGGGGAAUCUUGCACGAUGAGCGCAGGCCUGAUGCAGCAACGCCGCGUAGGGGAUGACGGUCUUCGGGUUGAAGACUACAUGCGCUAGGGACGAAGCGUUUUGUGACGGUACCUGGAGAAGAAGCGCCGGCUAACUACGUG